CUGACGGACAUUUUCUGCUACAGAUUUCAAUGUAAAUAAAAUGACUGAAAACAGCUUCAAAUCCUGCGCAGAAUACUGCAUGUGUGAAUAGACCCUAAAGAGUGGAGGCUCAUCACUGCAGCUGCCAUACUGAAAUAGAAAUAAAUAUGCCUGAAAAAUUCCCAUGCCUACCACAUCAGCUAAAACAGGGCCCAGCAUUUUUUUUUCUUUCCGGUAAACAUACUAGUGACAACUAAGGGGUUAACCUCUUCCCUUUUAAGUAAACCCGACAGGACAAAUUCCAUGCGAUGACGAAUGAGAAUUUCCCCCUGUCCCGCCAGCAAUGUGUCGCCCUCCUAUUUAUUCCGCCUUUGCUGCCUCUCACAAUAAACGAUCCUUUAAAUUUUUAUGUAUUUAUGUAAAAUUAUUUCGACAAGGCGGCACCGCGCAGAUGAGGUCCUAUUUGCAUAGUUACACUGUAAAUCCCGCAUUCGCAUUUU
Molecule: long non-coding RNA, 479 nt
Organism: Hyla sarda
Lineage: Eukaryota; Metazoa; Chordata; Amphibia; Anura; Hylidae
Exons: 3
Source: RefSeq, a predicted model, not a curated record